CAAUAGCGUAUAUUUAAGUUGUUGCAGUUAAAAGCUCGUAGUUGGAUUUCGGAUGUGAACGACCGGUCCGCCGUUGCGGUGUGCACUGGACGUUUGUAUCUUGUUGUCGGGAGCGCGCUCCUGACCUUAACUGGGAGGGACGCGGAGUCGGCGCUGUUACUUUGAAAAAUAGAGUGUUCAAAGCAGGCAACCGCUCUGAAUACAUUAGCAUGGAAUAACGCCAUAGGACUCUGGUCCUAUUGUGUUGGUCUUCGGGACCGGAGUAAUGAUUAAUAGGGAUAGUUGGGGGCAUUAGGUAUUUAAUUGUCAGAGGUGGAAUUCUCGGAUUUGUUAA
RNAcentral lists this ribosomal RNA (334 nucleotides) under uncultured eukaryote. RNAcentral describes it as "SSU rRNA". It matches the Rfam family "Eukaryotic small subunit ribosomal RNA", at positions 592 to 932 of the family's 1831-position model. The record is from RNAcentral.